AUUGAACGCUGGCGGCAGGCCUAACACAUGCAAGUCGAGCGGAUGAAGGGAGCUUGCUCCUGGAUUCAGCGGCGGACGGGUGAGUAAUGCCUAGGAAUCUGCCUGGUAGUGGGGGAUAACGUCCGGAAACGGGCGCUAAUACCGCAUACGUCCUGAGGGAGAAAGUGGGGGAUCUUCGGACCUCACGCUAUCAGAUGAGCCUAGGUCGGAUUAGCUAGUUGGUGGGGUAAAGGCCUACCAAGGCGACGAUCCGUAACUGGUCUGAGAGGAUGAUCAGUCACACUGGAACUGAGACACGGUCCAGACUCCUACUGGAGGCAGCAGUGGGGAAUAUUGGACAAUGGGCGAAAGCCUGAUCCAGCCAUGCCGCGUGUGUGAAGAAGGUCUUCGGAUUGUAAAGCACUUUAAGUUGGGAGGAAGGGCAGUAAGUUAAUACCUUGCUGUUUUGACGUUACCAACAGAAUAAGCACCGGCUAACUUCGUG
RNAcentral lists this ribosomal RNA (484 nucleotides) under uncultured bacterium. Its description in RNAcentral is "partial 16S ribosomal RNA". It matches the Rfam family "Bacterial small subunit ribosomal RNA", at positions 30 to 507 of the family's 1533-position model. The record is from RNAcentral.